GUUCCCGUUGAUCCUGCGGGAGAUCGCUGCUAUUGGAAUUCGACUAAGCCAUGCAAGUCUUUCUGAGCAAUCAGAGGCAUAAGGCUCAGUAACACGUCGGUAACCUGCCCUAAGGUCAGGGAUAACCUCGCGAAAGUGAGGGUAACACCUGAUAGGGAAAUCGUUCUGGAACGAUGUUUUCCCAGAAAUUCGUGCCUUAGGAUGGGCCGGCGGCAGAUUAGGCUGUUGGCGGUGUAAUGGACCACCAAACCGAAGAUCUGUACGGGCCAUGAGAGUGGGAGCCCGGAGAGGGACACUGAGAUACUGGUCCCAGCCCUACGGGGUGCAGCAGGCGCGAAACCUUUUCAAUGCGCGAAAGCGUGAGAAGGGAAUUCCAAGUGCUCAAGUUUUACUUGGGCUUUUGCCAAGUGUAAAAAGCUUGGCGAAUAAGGGGUGGGUAAGACUGGUGCCAGCCGCCGCGGUAACACCAGCGCCUCGAGUGGGGAUCGCGAUUAUUGGGUCUAAAGCGUCCGUAGCAGGCCUUGUAAAUGCUUUGUGAAAUUGUCCGGCAUAACCGGGCAGCGUGCAGAGUAGACUGCAGGGCUCGAGACCGGGAGAGGUUAGAAGUAUUCCUGGGGUACCGGUAAAAUGGGUUAAUCCUGGGAGGACUACCUAUGGCGAAGGCAUCUGACCAGAACGGUUCUGACUGUGAGGGACGAAAGCUAGGGGAGCAAAACGGAUUAGAUACCCGAGUAGUCCUAGCCGUAAACGCUGCGAGCAAGGUAUUGCGCCUCCCACGAGGAUGCGCAGUGUCGAAGAGAAGUCGUUAAGCUCGCCACCAGGGAAGUACGGUCGCAAGGCUGAAACUUUAAGGAAUUGGCGGGGGAGCGCCACAAGGGGUGCGGCGUGCGGUUCAAUCUAACUCAACGCAGAGAACCUCACUAGGCCCGACGGCAGGAUGAAGAUCAUGCUGAAGACAUUAUCUGACGAGCCGAGAGGUAGUGCAUGGCCGUCGCCAGCUCGUGCUGUGAAG
Molecule: ribosomal RNA, 1012 nt
Filed under: Candidatus Woesearchaeota archaeon
Lineage: Archaea; Nanobdellati; Candidatus Woesearchaeota
Description: bacterial SSU rRNA
Rfam family: Archaeal small subunit ribosomal RNA
Source: RNAcentral